AAUUAUAAAUUAAUCUAAACUGAAUAAUUAAAUUAUAUUAUAUUUCUUUUAAAGAUGAAAUUUCUAAUAAAAAUAAUUCUAUAAUUUUAUAUAAAAAUUAGUGAUAAACCAGGAUUAGAUACCCUGUUAUUCUAAUAAUAUACUCUAUUUCAACAAAAUACAAAAUAAAUUUGACGGUAUUAAAAAUUACAAAGGAAUUUGUUUCUUAAUCGACAAUCCGCGCUUUACCUUACUUAAUAUAUAUUUGUAUACCACCGUAUUGAAAUUAUACUAAAUAAAUUUCAAAAUAAAAAAUCUUAAUAAAUCAGGUCAAGGUACAAUUUUAUUAAGAUGAAAUGAAUUACAUUAACAAUAUUCACUAAUAAAAAAAUGAAAAAUUUUUAUAAUAGAAUUUGUAAGUAAAAUUAUAUCAUUAUGUUAAUUUGAAAAUUAUCAUUAAUAUG
This 443-nucleotide ribosomal RNA is filed under the name Peripatus sp. MCZ 46445. RNAcentral's name for it is "partial 12S ribosomal RNA". Lineage: Eukaryota; Metazoa; Onychophora; Udeonychophora; Euonychophora; Peripatidae. The record is from RNAcentral.